RNAcentral lists this long non-coding RNA (3762 nucleotides) under Homo sapiens (human). Its description in RNAcentral is "HSALNT0265953". Lineage: Eukaryota; Metazoa; Chordata; Mammalia; Primates; Hominidae. The record is from RNAcentral.
CGGUGGCUAAUGAUGACAACAGCAACAGCACUGAGCACAGAAAACUCCACAGGCCUGGGCUCGGCUCAUCGCACAGCCUCCAUCUCUGGAUGCCCUGUGAGGGUUCUGUCAUUAUCCACAUUUUAGAGAUGAGGAAACUGAGGCUUAAAAGGGCUAAGUGACCAACCCACUGACACAGCGAUUCGAGCUUAGGCUGGCCCAUCCCAGACCUGGACUGCCCACCUCUCUCCCCUUUCGCAGCCGACCUGGCUGCCAGCUCUCGUCCUUCCUCUGCGGGGUUUGGCUUUUCCCUCCUCUCUUCCCCAGGUGGUCCCGUCCCGGGCACUGCCUCGAGUCUCACGGUGUGCAGGGCCAGGCAGACGAGCUGCUGACUGCAGCUUCGCUGUAAUCUACCGACUCUAACGGCAGCUCAGCUCGCACGGGGCUAGCACAGCGAACACGUGCGCACGGGGAUGGGCGGAGAACCGAGUGACGACAGCAAAGAGCCAGGGGGAGCCAGGAAAAGCUCGAAAAUCAGCGUAACGCUGUUGGAGAUGAGAGGGCACAGCACAAUUUUGAGAGCCAAACAAAGGCGGGGCACAGAGCUGUUGCCUCGAGAUGUGUGGCCUCAGAAGGUCUUGUCGAGGAUUCAAGGAGAUUCAAAACCCGUGUCACUGCUGCCAUCUUCCUAGAAUCCCUUUAAAUCCUCAUGGAUUUGCUGACAUUGGGAGCAUCCUGAAAGAGUCCCCAUGCUAGGGUGGCUGCAGUAACAGGUACAAUGAGAAAUGAUGGUUCUCCCCACUCCAGAAAAAAUCAAAUCAGAUUGUGAAUUUAUUCCCUGACAUUAACACACGGCAUUACAGGAGCAUGUACAUCACAUGGUCAAUUUAUUGGCAUGAGGAUUAUGUCAUCGGGGAAUAAAUGGGAAAUUCUCAAGGAGAAGCCAAGUUGUGAGCAGUGCACCUUCACAAGCAAAGCCUCGACUGAAAUCUUCUCUAACAAUUGGCUGGUCACUCCUGAGCGUAAUCUACCCCUUCAGAACACUGGGGAUGAAUUUAGAGACAUCGAAGCCUCCUGAUGAGAAAUACGUGUCCACUCACCGGGAGAACUGAAAUACCAGGAGAUUUCUACACAAAUCUCACAGAGUCCUUCUGGCGUCCUAGGGGUUUGCUCACAUAUAAGGGACUUUCUGGUAGGAAGAGAGUCUCUUUACAUUCUUUAUUAUAUGAUCCUGGUGGCUUUGUAGAGAGAUGGUACAGCUGACAGAUCAUGUCCUGUGGGGCCAGGGAGUUGUGUGUGUGUGAAUGCUCUGUGAACUUGGGCAAACUACUUAGCCUCUCUGAGCCUUAGCUGCAUCAGCUUUGAAAAACAGGAUGAUAAAAUGGAGUCACCUUAUUUGACUUUUAUAAAUACACUUACACAAUUACACAAGUUGUGGGGAUGGGAAGAGAGAGUUGGGGAAAGAGAAAUGAGAGAGAGAGAGAGAGAGAAUGAAUGAUAAACAAUUUAAACAACAGUGGGGUGUAGACCAACGCCCAGCCUGGCAAGGGUGAGCCCAGAGAGCCUUCCCUCCUGGCUAUUGGCAGCCUCCGCAUGGAAGCCUGUCGUUGACUUCUUAAUGAUGAGAGAUGUUCUGGGGGCACUCCAGGAUUCUUGGACAUGGGAUCGUCUUCACAGCUGUGUCUAUUGAAAGCUGAAGUUUCAGUCUCCCCUGCCCCCUGCCCCCUGGAGUGGCUUCCCAGGGGAAAUUCAAGGGCACCUGUGACUGCAUGGCUGCUUUCCUUUCCUUUACUCAAUGCCGUCCUUUGGUGACAGCCGUGUCUCAUGCCAGGAUACAUGAGGUGCUCUAUAGUAGUAUGUUUUCCCUCCUGGGAGGUAAUUUUAUUUAAAUGUGAAGUCAAAAGGAUCACUAAAUAGAACCAUGAGGCAACCACUCUGGGCACCUGCCUGGUGAUAUCCACAAGAGCUGACCACAGGUGCCCCCUGUGCCCAGCAAGUCCUUGGCUGGGCAGUCACACAACAGGCAUGGGGAUGUGUGGCCACCAAGCCCUCCAGGGCAGUGCUAUUUGUAAUAGUCCCAAAUGGGAGAGAUGGCAAACGCCCGCCAAUGGGGCAGCAUGGAUAAAUGGAUGCUGCACAGCAACGGCGAUGAGUGAGCCCCAGCACCCGUGAGCUCACCAGUGUAAUAUUGGGUGGAAGAAGCCAGGAGGAAGGGCAUUCACAUUCUGUGAUUCCAGCUACACUAUGUUUAAAUAUGGGCAGAGCUAGGCUGUGGUGCUGGAAGCCAGGACAGUGGGAUCCUUGCAUGGGGGUGAUGGUGCUGGUAGGUUCUGGUAAUUUCCUCUUCUUGAUCUGGGUGUAAACAUUUUGUGAAAAUUCAAUGAGCUGUACAUUUAUGACUGGUACAUUUAUGACUUUGUAUGAAUAUUAUACUUUCAUAAAACUACUUUAAAAUAUGAUUGUGAACCUUUUUUCACCUAUUUUCUGCCAAUUAGCACCGAAUUGCUCACUAACUAAUGAGUGGUGCUGGUUUUGACUUGCUUGCUACACUGUCUUGAGACAGAUAGGGUUUUCUGUGCUUUGUAUGACCCCCUCUGGAACCAGGGUGGGACUGGGAACACUCGGAAAACAUGUGCUGACAGAUGCUGGGCAUCCCCGUGUUGGUGGAGGCAUGCUCAUUCCUCAGCAAAAUACCCAUAUGGGGUGUUGGCAGGAAAGAGGACAGAAAAGGACAAAGUAUUUGUCUCUGCUAGCGUUCCUGGAGCUGUCUCACCUUGGCCAAGCCCCCGCCCAGUCCUCUCCUAACGUGGACAGACUAGGGGGCAGAAACUAGUCAGCCAAAGAAUUUCCAAGCUAGGGGUUGAUGAAUGCUUGGAUAAUUUGCCCAUGAACACGUUGGAUUCUUCUUCACUUGCCAUCACGGGGGGAUAAGUACCCCAGUUUUUUUUUGGAGAGAAUUGAGGGACUGUGCCAUUGCAGUGUGGAUUUCAAGAGAUUUUAAACGGAAGGCAGAGUAACAGUGUGGUUUGGGAAGCUCUAAAGACAGUUGUCCUGGUGCGGUUUCUUCCAUAAAAGAGUGGGGACGCCAUGGACCUGCUCACCAAAUUCCAGUCCCGACACAGUUCUGUGAGGCACUCUCCACAUCAGGGCAGACGGGCAGGAGGAGUUUACACAGCGAUCUGGGGGCCAUUAGAGCACUGAGGGAUCCAUUGCUGUCUCUUGUUUCUGUUUCCCACACUGUGCUGGGUGCUGGGAACAUGACGAUGAACUUGAAGGAAAUAAUGUGUACGGUGGUUCAUUUCCAAGACAUAGUGCCUUGAAUCAGUUUAGGUCAGCAAACUACAGAAGAAACAGGAUAUACUAGGCCCCUGCUUGGAGAGCUGAUGCCUGUUUGUUGCCCCUCACCCCCUUAGUUGCCCUUACCAGAACCAAAGGAGUUUAGUCUAAGAUGAAAGUUUACUAGCCUGCAAAAUAGCUCACUUUGUCUGUUCUUAUCAGCCUGCCCAGCUACUUAGGUCAUAAGUGAAAUACUUGAAGAGCCCCUGAGCUAACUAGGAUUGCAAUGCAUUGUGGCUGCAACAAGAUGCAGCAAGACAACUGUAAAGAAAAUGCCUAAAACCCCUACCCACCAACCCAUAGGCGAUGUCCAGGAAGACUGUGACCUCCAUAGUACUCAGCAUUUGAGGAACUGGGGGAGGGACCUGUGCACUAGGGGAUAAAUUGCUUGUUGAAACUGUGCUGGGUGUGCCUGUCCAUCAGAUACCCUAUCUUGCAAGACUGUCG